Cannabis sativa is the source of this 1724-nucleotide RNA transcript. It is a transcript of the gene named serine/arginine-rich splicing factor SC35-like, with no coding region annotated. The transcript has 9 exons. Lineage: Eukaryota; Viridiplantae; Streptophyta; Magnoliopsida; Rosales; Cannabaceae. The record is from RefSeq and is a predicted model, not a curated record.
GCAUGUAAAAGAUAGGGGCAAUAUUUUUAGCAUCUCUUGAGUGAGACAUCCAAAUUCCAAAUCGGCCAAAAUCUUUCCAUUCUCACUGAUAAGCCAAAAACCCUAACACCGCCGCUGGUCAUAUCCAUGUCGCACUUCGGGAGAUCUGGUCCACCGGACAUCAGAGACACCUACUCCCUUCUCGUCCUCAACAUCACUUUCCGUACCACCGCAGACGAUCUUUUCCCGCUCUUCGACCGCUAUGGGAAGGUCGUCGACGUCUUUAUCCCCAGAGACCGAAGGACUGGGGAAUCGCGCGGGUUCGCGUUUGUUCGGUACAAGUAUGCGGAUGAGGCUCAGAAAGCCGUGGAGAAGCUCGAUGGAAGAGUUGUAGAUGGUAGAGAGAUUAUGGUUCAAUUUGCCAAGUAUGGCCCCAAUGCCGAAAGAAUUCAUAAGGGGAGGAUAAUUGAAUCGGAAUCAAAACUUGGAAGCAGGUCAAGAAGCCGUAGUCCUCGUCCAAGGCAUCGUGAUGAGAAUCGAGACAGAGACAGGGAUAGGGAUAGAGACAGGAGGAGAAGCCGCAGUCGAAGUAGGGAUAGAUAUGACCGGGACAGAUCCCAUAAGAGUGAGAGGGAACACCGUUACCGUAGCAGGAGCCGCAGUGCUAGUCCAGAUCGCCACAAAGGUCGUGGGAGGUCCAAAUAUGAUGAUGAUGAGCAUCGCAGUCGGAGCCAUUCCUAUGGGAGUGCCUCCCCUGCUCGGCGUAGUCGUAGUCGUAGUCCUAAAUCUCGCAGGAGCCCAUCUCCUCGUAGGACACCUUCAAAAGGUGAAAACCCUGAAAUACGCGACCUUAAGGAUCGUUCUCCUGCUUCAAAAGAUGCUUCACCACGUGGUAGGCCAGUUGAUUCUCGAAGCCCUUCUCCUCGUAGAUCAGACGUUGAUGAUUGAUGGAGAGCAGCAUAUCAAGUUAUGAGCAUAUUUAUUGUGUCGUUGCCCGUAUUGAGGAGAAAUAGUUGAGUUGCAUGUUGUUGCCAUAUCAAAUGUUAUUUGACUGCCCUGCAGUUAUUCGAAGUUUUGUUCGAGCAGAGCGAAUGUGACUGAAUCACAAGAUGAUGUACUUGCUGUUGGUGCUGUUUAUACUGGUUGUACAGAUGGUAGAUGUCAAUUUGUUUGGUGGUUGCUGUCUACAAUAUCUUACCAAUCUAUAUUGAUGAUGAUAUUCUGGUUGGUAAGAGUAAUAAUAACCUCAUGAUUUUACGAAGUCUUUGUAUCAAUGAGGCUUCUUACUUUUGAUCUGAUCAUUUCUUUUCUACAAUGAUUUAUAAAAGUUUGGUCCUUGCAAAGGCGUUCCUGGUUGCUGUGGUUGCCGAAAGGCGGUCAGAUUUCACAUGCCAAUAAAUGUAGCUGAUGCAGUUUAUAUGAAACAAAUAUGUUGGGGGUUUCAGCUAGCUGUUGGUGUCUAUAUCUUUAUAAAGACUGGCCAAUUGAGCGAGUUGCAGCCCUAGUCGCAGCUUUGGUUAUUAAUUAAAUGAGAUAAAAGUUUUUUUCUUUCUUUUUUUUUUUUUUGGCUCUUUUACAUUACACAGUAGUAGAUGGUUCGUAACCAUGUAAAUAAAUGAAAUUUGAAUGCCUGCAAUUCUCUCUUCGUUUCUAGUUUUCCUUGAGAUUAGUGGCUAGCUGCACAAACUUAAUGAAAAUAAUAAUGACAUGAUUACAUGCAAAGGAAGAAGUGCCUUUGUUUUGUA